Molecule: ribosomal RNA, 562 nt
Filed under: Zoroaster fulgens
Lineage: Eukaryota; Metazoa; Echinodermata; Asteroidea; Forcipulatida; Zoroasteridae
Description: partial 16S ribosomal RNA
Rfam family: Bacterial large subunit ribosomal RNA
Source: RNAcentral
AAAAUAAUUGAUGAAUAAAGGGUACUGCCUGCCCAGUGACGUUGUUAAACGGCCGCGGUAUUUUGACCGUGCAAAGGUAGCAUAAUCAUUUGCCUCUUAAAUAGAGGCUGGUAUGAAUGGCAAGACGGGAUUUAGCUGUCUCUUUCUUAUAUCUUAAAAUUAAUAUUUUUGUGAAGAAGCAAAAAUUAAUUCGUAGGACGAGAAGACCCUAUCGAGCUUUAAUGGGUAAUGGGUUCAGUAUUAUUAACCAGAUUAUGAAACUAAUUAUAAUGAAUUAGGAUUAAUUAAUUUUUAUUUUAUAAUCUGUUAGUAUAUGAAUUAGACAUUUUGAUUGGGGCAAUCAUGGAGAAGAAAAUCCUCCAUUAGUAAUAAUAAGGAAAGACAUUUUUAGUGUACAUAUUUUGUAGUUGAGUGAUCCACUUGAUAUAGUGAUCAAAGGAAUAAGUUACCGUAGGGAUAACAGCGUAAUUUUUUUAGAGAGUUCAUAUUGAUAAAAAAGUUUGCGACCUCGAUGUUGGAUCGGGAUUUCCAGGAGAUGCAGCAGUUUCCAAGGGUUGGUCUG